This 253-nucleotide ribosomal RNA is filed under the name uncultured bacterium. RNAcentral's name for it is "partial 16S ribosomal RNA". It matches the Rfam family "Bacterial small subunit ribosomal RNA", at positions 524 to 776 of the family's 1533-position model. The record is from RNAcentral.
UACAGAGGGUGCAAGCGUUAAUCGGAUUUACUGGGCGUAAAGCGCGCGUAGGUGGCCAAUUAAGUCAAAUGUGAAAUCCCCGAGCUUAACUUGGGAAUUGCAUUCGAUACUGGUUGGCUAGAGUAUGGGAGAGGAUGGUAGAAUUCCUGGUGUAGCGGUGAAAUGCGUAGAGAUCUGGAGGAAUACCGAUGGCGAAGGCAGCCAUCUGGCCUAAUACUGACACUGAGGUGCGAAAGCAUGGGGAGCAAACAGG